GGGGCUGGGGCUCAGUGGUAGAGCACUUGCCUAGCAUGUAUGAGGCACUGGGUUCGAUCCCCAGCACCA
This 69-nucleotide transfer RNA is filed under the name Ictidomys tridecemlineatus (thirteen-lined ground squirrel). RNAcentral describes it as "Spermophilus tridecemlineatus (thirteen-lined ground squirrel) tRNA". It matches the Rfam family "tRNA". From Rfam's summary of the family: Transfer RNA (tRNA) molecules are approximately 80 nucleotides in length. Their secondary structure includes four short double-helical elements and three loops (D, anti-codon, and T loops). The record is from Rfam by way of RNAcentral. Lineage: Eukaryota; Metazoa; Chordata; Mammalia; Rodentia; Sciuridae.